Molecule: ribosomal RNA, 253 nt
Filed under: uncultured bacterium
Lineage: Bacteria
Description: partial 16S ribosomal RNA
Rfam family: Bacterial small subunit ribosomal RNA
Source: RNAcentral
UACAGAGGUCCCAAGCGUUACUGAGAAUCACUGGGUUUAAAGGGUGCGUAGGUGGCGCGUUAAGUCAGUUGUGAAAUCCCCGGGCUCAACCCGGGAACUGCUUCUGAUACUGGCGUGCUUGAGGCCAGUAGGGGUCACUAGAACUGACGGUGGAGCGGUGAAAUGCGUAGAUAUCGUCAGGAAUGCCGGUGGUGAAGACGGGUGACUGGGCUGGUUCUGACACUGAGGCACGAAAGCGUGGGGAGCGAACGGG